UGGGGGAUAUUGCACAAUGGGGGAAACCCUGAUGCAGCGACGCCGCGUGGAGGAAGAAGGUUUUCGGAUUGUAAACUCCUGUCGUUAGGGACGAUAAUGACGGUACCUAACAAGAAAGCACCGGCUAACUACGUGCCAGCAGCCGCGGUAAAACGUAGGGUGCAAGCGUUGUCCGGAAUUACUGGGUGUAAAGGGAGCGCAGGCGGACCGGCAAGUUGGGAGUGAAAUCCAUGGGCUCAACCCGUGAAUUGCUUUCAAAACUGCUGGCCUUGAGUAGUGCAGAGGUAGGUGGAAUUCCCGGUGUAGCGGUGGAAUGCGUAGAUAUCGGGAGGAACACCAGUGGCGAAGGCGACCUACUGGGCACCAACUGACGCUGAGGCUCGAAAGCAUGGGUAGCAAACAGGAUUAGAUACCCUGGUAGUCCAUGCCGUAAACGAUGAUUACUAGGUGUUGGAGGAUUGACCCCUUCAGUGCCGCAGUUAACACAAUAAGUAAUCCACCUGGGGAGUACGACCGCAAGGUUGAAACUCAAAGGAAUUGACGGGGGCCCGCACAAGCAGUGGAGUAUGUGGUUUAAUUCGAAGCAACGCGAAGAACCUUACCAGGUCUUGACAUCCGAUGCAUAGUGCAGAGAUGCAUGAAGUCCUUCGGGACAUCGAGACAGGUGGUGCAUGGUUGUCGUCAGCUCGUGUCGUGAGAUGUUGGGUUAAGUCCCGCAACGAGCGCAACCCUUAUUGCCAGUUACUACGUAAGAGGACUCUGGCGAGACUGCCGUUGACAAAACGGAGGAAGGUGGGGAUGACGUCAAAUCAUCAUGCCCUUUAUGACCUGGGCUACACACGUACUACAAUGGCGUUUAACAAAGAGAAGCAAGACCGCGAGGUGGAGCAAAACUCAGAAACAACGUCUCAGUUCAGAUUGCAGGCUGCAACUCGCCUGCAUGAAGUCGGAAUUGCUAGUAAUCGCGGAUCAGCAUGCCGCGGUGAAUACGUUCCC
RNAcentral lists this ribosomal RNA (996 nucleotides) under uncultured bacterium. RNAcentral's name for it is "bacterial SSU rRNA". It matches the Rfam family "Bacterial small subunit ribosomal RNA", at positions 355 to 1375 of the family's 1533-position model. The record is from RNAcentral.